This 3194-nucleotide long non-coding RNA is filed under the name Ooceraea biroi (clonal raider ant). Its description in RNAcentral is "uncharacterized LOC113562549, transcript variant X2". Lineage: Eukaryota; Metazoa; Arthropoda; Insecta; Hymenoptera; Formicidae. The record is from RNAcentral.
CCCCUUCGAACCAAACGACUUUUGUCUGAAACAUUUUUCUCUGAAACGACGUCGUAUCGAAAUAUUUUACUGACAAAUAUAAAAUGGGACACCCAUAUAUAUACGAAGAAGAUUCAUAAAAAUCCGUAAGAACUGCGCGUUACGUGAUUCGAUAUAACAACACGUACGUCCAGUUUAACGCAAUGUCGACUGUGUUUAUGCUGACUCUGCUUUAUAUUCGCUAAUAUUUAUGCAGUCAUUUUGCAUUCGCAGCGCGGCGAUACGGCGCGCAUUUACACGAAUUUAUUUUCUCUGCCCACCGCGGUGAUAUUACUGCGCAAUAAUUCGUCGCCGAUACUUUCGAAGAAUACAGCCGGCAGAAACGGUUCCGGCGACAAAAUGAUUACGUAAUGGCACCAAGGGUCUCAAAGGUCGCGUUAGACCGCGCGGAGAAACUGCAGGUAGUAAAUCGAGGUAAUCGGCUGGGAAUAAGGCGACGGCGCGUGUCGCCGCGAAGUGCAUUCCGGCGAAUACAUUUGUAUGCAAAUCCGUGUUUAUUUCCAGCCACGACGACGCCGUCACGCCGCUGAUCCGGCGAGAGGAGGAUCUCCUAUCGCCCGUGCAUGCGCGUGCGCGUUAUCGAGGAAUAGUUCUGUCGCGAUUAUUAACAGAUUAUUUCUAUUUUCGGACAGUAGUUAUUCGCAGAUGCCAUGUCGCGAGGUAAGUGAGGAAAUAAAAGGAAGUUGUUUUCUAGUCGUAGAUUUGUCCUGCCACACUUACACGGUGCGUCGCCGUGUGAGUGCUGAAAAACCAGUUCGUUGUGUGUUAAGCAAGUUCUCUCAAGAAAAAUUGUCAAAAUUCUACUAUUAAUUCCAUACAUUUAUAAUUUUGUCAUAAAUUAUUCAGAAUUUAUAAAGAAAUCAUAAAUGUGUAUGAAAUUGAUAGAAUGACAAUUUUCAUAAAUUAUUAUUUUUAUGAUAUAUAAUUUUCAUAAAUUAAAUAUCAUAAAAAUCCACGUGUUUACUUGAACAACAUAAUCCAUUUAAACUACAAACAUGUGAAUUUGAAACAUAAAUAGCAUAAAUUCUCCUCAAGGAUAUGUCGUUGCGUUUGUUGCGCUCUCAAUAGCGAUGCGUUGCAAUGGACUGUACGUACGGACAGUGGACAGUGCAAACUCAUUAUAAUGAGUACUGACAGGGUGAAAUUUCUCACGCAACGAAAGUUGAGAAAUCUUCUGUUGAUGCGCGGUAUCGAAAUGUUGCCGAGUCAAUCGAACGUGACGUCAUAACGCACUUAAUACGGAGUGAUUAUCUAACUUCUACUGUAAUCCAUGCAUACAACGUGCAUAUCUCAUCCGAAACGCAUGUAUAUAUGUACGAUCCAAAGUACAUCCGUGCGUUUUUCCAAUAAGCGAGUAUUCAUUAAUCAUGAACGUGACUAUUGAAUGUUUGGAAUAACAUUUUAAUUAACUGCCGAGUUUGUGGAACGGCGCGUUCGAUGCACUGGAUACAAUCUCACGCGUGAUAUAAAUAUAUAUAUAUAUAUAUGCGUCAAUAAAUAAUAAUAUAAAGUAAAUUAUAGUGCAAUAUAAAAUUCUUCGAAAUUUAUGAUAGGACAGUUGGACCAAGAGGCGGCAGGAGCAAUUUAAGCGGCAGGUGCGGCAGGCGGCGGCCGAAGCAUCGACCUGGUGGCUGAGGAAAGCUUCUGCGACACCAAAUGCGCGAUGUGCGACGACCUCUUCCAAACAAACUCCCGCGUUCUAUCGUGGUCGUCCUGGCUCUCCACUCGCACCUGAUUCCAGAGAAACAAGCUCGGCUUAAUGCGUGAAUGUAAAACAAACUUGUUUACGCCAAACAAGCGGAAACGAUCAAUGCGUUUUGAGAGAGGAAGUGACUGAUAAUGGCAUCAAAUUUAAACUUCAGAUUAUUAGUCGGUGCGUAAGUUCUUGCCGAUGGGUCGUUGGAUCGCCUCAAAAGAUGACUUUUUCUUUCGACGUGGUAUUUGCCGAAAAGAUAUGGGAAAAAGUAUAAAACGAUGAGUGAUUCGGAAGAGGAUGCAAGGAGAACAAGGAGCAUAGAUGAAGGGAUAAGAUGAUGGAAAGAUUGUGCUACUGUCCAGGUACAGUCGAUCGUCCAGAAAACCGUCCACCAACACGCGAUCAUCUACUGGCAAGUAAAAAAGGUACAGCUGAAGCGACAGCAGGCAAGGGCGGCUACGGUUUCUUGUGAGAAACGAGCGACGAAAAAAGAAGCAAAGUAAGAUCGGAAGCUAAGUUGAAAGAAAUCUAAGAAGAAGAAGUGCUACUAUCAAGUGCAUUCUGCAAAUAGCCAGAAUCUGGUCGCUGCUGCUGGUGCUUAAAGGGCUUAAAGCAAAAAUUACAGAAAUGAAACGUUCGCCUGGAGAACGAGGAGCGAAAGCAACACGCUCGAUCAUCAUCGAGCCGGCCGCUCGUCUAACUGUAAAUACCGGGCAACUUCCUCCCGCGGAUGGCAUAGCAAUGGCUACCGAUGGUCCGCCAGCAUCCGCUCUGUCUAAUGCCCGAAGCGGCGGCGUCGCCGUCCGAUUUUUAUACGAUACAUUCCAGUUUCUGGAACGUCGGAUUUCACGCUUCAAGACUACUCCCGACGAUCUUCAGAGAUAUGCGAUAUGCGAUCUUACGUAGUAUCUUUUUUGGUGCGUUCAUGAUAUUAUAUUUAAUCCGAUGGACUAUUGGGAGAGAUUCCGAUCUACGCAGACGAUGCGAGACACCAUAACAAUUUUUGAAAGUCUGCGUAAACUGAGAUAGAAAGUUAGAAAGAAAGACAGGCAGGAAGAAGAAAAAGUGGUACCGCGUCCUAAAAGGAACGGAUAUCUACGGAAGAAAAGAAAGAAGCGCGUCGAAAAUUUAAUUAGAGAUUUAAUGUGAGAAGCUGUGAAGUUAAAUAAACUGGUAACUCUGUAUCUUUUAAGUUUCAUUCUGAUUUUCUUAAGAUUCAAGAUUUAACUGUAAUUGAGAAAUAUCGUGGAAGAAUUUAUGUUUCACCAUAAAUAUCUUAAUUUUUAUUUGCCGAGAAUAUUUAAUGAUAUCCUGAAGAGAGAUUAUUUUUGUUCUUUAAUUCUUUUGGAAAGUUUACGCAGCCUUUCUUCACGGAGAGCGAUGUUCCAUUUCUACUAUUAUUGUGAUGACCGAUAUGGAUCUGUAAACGAUAGACAUCAAUAAAGUGCGAUUAAUACUA